This is a non-coding RNA of Ictidomys tridecemlineatus (thirteen-lined ground squirrel), 65 nucleotides long. Lineage: Eukaryota; Metazoa; Chordata; Mammalia; Rodentia; Sciuridae. The record is from Rfam.
GGUGUAGCUCAGUGGUAGAGUGCUUGCCUAGAAUGCAAAAGGCCCUGGAUUCCAUACCCAGCACC